UGAAGGCCUUCGGGUCGUAAAACCCUGUCGGGUGGAACGAAUUCCCUCUUCGCUAACAUCGGAGAGGAUUGACGGUACCACCGAAGGAAGCCCCGGCUAACUACGUGC
RNAcentral lists this ribosomal RNA (108 nucleotides) under uncultured bacterium. Its description in RNAcentral is "partial 16S ribosomal RNA". It matches the Rfam family "Bacterial small subunit ribosomal RNA", at positions 409 to 508 of the family's 1533-position model. The record is from RNAcentral.